AAAAAAUUAAAAAAAAAAACGAAAAGAAAAAACGAAAAAAAAAAAACGAAAAAAAAAAUAUAUAUAUACUCUGAGGUUUCCUUGAAACUUCAUUUGAGCCCACAAAGCCAUGAAAAUCAGGUUAUAAAAGAGGAAGAUCAGACAGAAAAAGGAAGAGAAGCAAAAUACUCUGAGGUUUCCUUGAAACAAAACCUGGAGAGGAACCUGACAGAGAACUCAGAGCAACCCCCAUCUCACGUAAACCCUAACAUUUC
RNAcentral lists this long non-coding RNA (254 nucleotides) under Lathyrus oleraceus (garden pea). Its description in RNAcentral is "Pisum sativum (pea) long non-coding RNA (PSAT_LNC007485)". The record is from RNAcentral. Lineage: Eukaryota; Viridiplantae; Streptophyta; Magnoliopsida; Fabales; Fabaceae.